RNAcentral lists this ribosomal RNA (954 nucleotides) under Priestia aryabhattai. RNAcentral describes it as "bacterial SSU rRNA". It matches the Rfam family "Bacterial small subunit ribosomal RNA", at positions 55 to 998 of the family's 1533-position model. Lineage: Bacteria; Bacillati; Bacillota; Bacilli; Caryophanales; Bacillaceae. The record is from RNAcentral.
CUGCAAGUCGAGCGAACUGAUUAGAAGCUUGCUUCUAUGACGUUAGCGGCGGACGGGUGAGUAACACGUGGGCAACCUGCCUGUAAGACUGGGAUAACUUCGGGAAACCGAAGCUAAUACCGGAUAGGAUCUUCUCCUUCAUGGGAGAUGAUUGAAAGAUGGUUUCGGCUAUCACUUACAGAUGGGCCCGCGGUGCAUUAGCUAGUUGGUGAGGUAACGGCUCACCAAGGCAACGAUGCAUAGCCGACCUGAGAGGGUGAUCGGCCACACUGGGACUGAGACACGGCCCAGACUCCUACGGGAGGCAGCAGUAGGGAAUCUUCCGCAAUGGACGAAAGUCUGACGGAGCAACGCCGCGUGAGUGAUGAAGGCUUUCGGGUCGUAAAACUCUGUUGUUAGGGAAGAACAAGUACGAGAGUAACUGCUCGUACCUUGACGGUACCUAACCAGAAAGCCACGGCUAACUACGUGCCAGCAGCCGCGGUAAUACGUAGGUGGCAAGCGUUAUCCGGAAUUAUUGGGCGUAAAGCGCGCGCAGGCGGUUUCUUAAGUCUGAUGUGAAAGCCCACGGCUCAACCGUGGAGGGUCAUUGGAAACUGGGGAACUUGAGUGCAGAAGAGAAAAGCGGAAUUCCACGUGUAGCGGUGAAAUGCGUAGAGAUGUGGAGGAACACCAGUGGCGAAGGCGGCUUUUUGGUCUGUAACUGACGCUGAGGCGCGAAAGCGUGGGGAGCAAACAGGAUUAUAUACCCUGGUGGUCCACGCCGUAAACGAUGAGUGCUAGUGUUAGAGGGAUUCCGCCCUUUAGUGCUGACCUAACGCAUAAAAACUCCGCUGGCGAGUACGGUCGCAUGACUGAAAUUCAAAGGAAAUGACGAGAGCCGCGCAGCGGGGUUCAGGUGGUUUUAUUUCAAACACCAGAACACCCUCACCUGUCUCGACUCCAGUGACAUUG